RNAcentral lists this ribosomal RNA (301 nucleotides) under uncultured bacterium. RNAcentral describes it as "partial 16S ribosomal RNA". It matches the Rfam family "Bacterial small subunit ribosomal RNA", at positions 509 to 809 of the family's 1533-position model. The record is from RNAcentral.
CAGCCGCCGCGGGAAUACGAAGGGUGCAAGCGUUAAUCGGAAUUACUGGGCGUAAAGCGUGCGUAGGCGGUGAGUUAAGUCUGCUGUGAAAUCCCCGGGCUCGACCUGGGAAUGGCAGUGGAUACUGGCUCGCUAGAGUGUGUCAGAGGAUGGUGGAAUUCCCGGUGUAGCGGUGAAAUGCGUAGAGAUCGGGAGGAACAUCAGUGGCGAAGGCGGCCAUCUGGGACAACACUGACGCUGAGGCACGAAAGCGUGGGGAGCAUACAGGAUUAGAUACCCCAGUAGUCCCUGUCUCUUAUAA